UUUCCGUAGGUGAACCUGCGGAAGGAUCAUUAUUGGAUUUUGAAACUUCAGGCUGCUGCUGGCUCUCCUCGGAGGGCAUGUGCACGCUUGUUGUCCAUUAUUUCUCCCACUGUGCACAAAUUGUAGACCUUUCAGUAGGCCUAUGUUGUUUUUCACAAUCUCUGAAUGUAAUAGAAUGGUUUUGAAUCUUGGGAAAUACUAUACAACUUUCAGCAACGGAUCUCUUGGCUCUC
This 233-nucleotide unclassified non-coding RNA is filed under the name plant metagenome. RNAcentral's name for it is "partial contains small subunit ribosomal RNA, internal transcribed spacer 1, and 5.8S ribosomal RNA". The record is from RNAcentral.